UCCUAGUGGCGGACGGGUGAGUAACGCGUGAGUAACCUGCCUUUAACAGGGGGAUAACACUGAGAAAUUGGUACUAAUACCCCAUAAUAUCAUAGAAGGCAUCUUUUAUGGUUGAAAAUUCCGAUGGUUAGAGAUGGGCAUGCGUUGUAUUAGCUAGUUGGUGGGGUAACGGCUCACCAAGGCGACGAUACAUAGGGGGACUGAGAGGUUAACCCCCCACACUGGUACUGAGACACGGACCAG
Molecule: ribosomal RNA, 243 nt
Filed under: uncultured bacterium
Lineage: Bacteria
Description: partial 16S ribosomal RNA
Rfam family: Bacterial small subunit ribosomal RNA
Source: RNAcentral